Acanthoscelides obtectus is the source of this 72-nucleotide non-coding RNA. Lineage: Eukaryota; Metazoa; Arthropoda; Insecta; Coleoptera; Chrysomelidae. The record is from the annotation of a GenBank genome assembly.
ACCUUUGUAGCUCAGUGGCAGAGCACCGGUCUUGCGAACCAGGGGUCGUGAGUUCAAUCCUCACAGGAGGCA